RNAcentral lists this ribosomal RNA (105 nucleotides) under uncultured bacterium. Its description in RNAcentral is "partial 16S ribosomal RNA". The record is from RNAcentral.
AAGGCUUUCGGGUUGUAAACCCCUUUCAGUUGGGACGAAGCUCCGUCGGUUAAUAGCCGGCUGGAGUGACGGUACCUUCACAAGAAGCACCGGCUAACUACGUGC